This is a long non-coding RNA of Rhododendron vialii, 1977 nucleotides long. RefSeq lists it as uncharacterized. The transcript has 2 exons. NCBI's taxonomy places the organism in Eukaryota, Viridiplantae, Streptophyta, Magnoliopsida, Ericales, Ericaceae. The record is from RefSeq and is a predicted model, not a curated record.
AUCAACUUCUCACACCAUAAAUACAUAUUUUGUAACACCCGUCCCAGGAUAUUUAGGGUUUCGAUUUAAUUUUGAGAUUCAGGGCUUAAUUCGUAUUCAUUGAAUUCUAUAAGGGGCCUUGGUGUGAUUUGUAUGGAGAUUGUUAUUGGUUUGGAGUAUAAAGUUGAGAGGGGAGGUGACCACGUGGGAUUUCUUCCUAAGUGACUAAAUAGCCAUCAGGAGGAUAUUUCCUCAUUCUCCCCAAUUCUGUCGACAUAGCAAGAGAGAGAGAGAGAGAGAGAAGAGAGAGAGAGAGAGAGAACGGGGGAGGAAGAGGCCACGGCUAAGGGGGAGGGAGGAAGGAGAGGUCCGUUUUUGGUGAUCCAACUCGGUAACGGGUAAUGAGCUGGUCUUUUAGGAGGUGCCAGGACCGUAAGUUUGGCAUACUCUAGUCGAAUCAAAGGUGAGUGUGUCUGAUAUGGUACUUCUCAAUAAGAUAUUGCUGUGGUGGUAAGUGUAUAUCCUACUAAUGGUAUUUUAGCUUUCGAUAUGAUUAUCGUUAUAUAGAUAAUGCGGUGGAGGUGAUUGUAUAUCAACGAUAUCAUACUAACCGAGGUUUAGCUAUUUGUGGGGGCUCCGUUCCGGUUGGUUCGUACUUUCUGAAUGUGGGUUCUUGGUUAGCUCCUGUUUCCUUGAUCAGUCCUGCAAAACGAAGCACGACUAAGAGACCACACCGGAGGUACUCCGGAAUGGCCCUCCGGUGCAAGAGUCAAAUUGCUUGCGAGAAGGAGUUAGGGAUUAGGAGCUAGGGUUUUGUUUGAGCAUUUCUCUUCCAAGUAGGCAUAAUGGGAUAUUUGUAGGGAACCCUUAGCUUGGUCUCCAAGAUUGCACCAACGCUCAACACGCGUCGGCUGAUGUCACUGUUGCAUCACGUUUAGGGUUUUACAACCGUUUUCAUGAUGAGCUGGCACCUUCACGUGCCACCAUCAUUGUCCUCAUAACCGUUUGGAUGACGUCACGACCAUCAUCAUUGCCAUGGUUACUGUUCUGAUGCGGAUGAGCUGGAUCGUCGGCCAGGCUACGCUCGGCACCGAGCGUGUUAUGGGACCUUCGGCAGCUAUCCAAACGAACGUAUCCUUCACACCGAGCGGGUGCAGGGAAUGGAGAAUCAAAGGAAGUGGUAAUUAGAGGGACCCUCGGUUGCAGGGACCCUCGGCUAUGGUUGCUGAUCCGAACGUCCAAAGAAAGAUGUCUUGGAGUUGGAAGGAAUACUGGGUCACGCUCGGAAUGGCCCGAGCCAUUUUGCUCGGCCUGCUACACUAUUAAUAUGGAUAUAUGUUAUGGAGAUUGUAUAUCAUGCUAUAUGUUGUUUUGGCUUACAGUAUGCGUGCUUGUUGUAUGUUGAUUGUAUCCGCGGAAGGAUUGUGGAGUGAGUCACGCCAUGUCAUAUGCCAUUCCGUCUAAUUAACGGAGAUUGGGAGCAUGGUUUGCGGGACACAAUGCCUUGGGUACAUGGGAAUAUGGUAGACGUGUCACUGCAUGCUUGUGUGAUUUAUAUUCAUGUUGUUGAUUCAGUUAUUGUUGUGUGGUUGUUUAUUGGAUAAUACUGCUGUGUUUAGAGGAUGUGGUGAUUAUUACUAUUAUACUCAUAUGGUUAUUUCAGUUAUGUUGGUGGUGUAUUCUCGUUGAUAUUCUUUUGGGUAUUGUGAUAUUUUAUUGAGCAUUUCUAUAUCUCACACACUCUGGCUUUUCUUUUUGUACUGCCAGGUAGCAUGUGGCUUAGUGUGGGUUCCCUACUGGUCAACGCUUUGGAGAGUGCUGAGACUAGCGCUGGGUGAUGUCUUUGGUUAGAUUGUUGUGUAGCUGAUUCAUCUAGAAGUUAACCUAAAUGUUUUGUAAUUAAUUGAAGAGAGAGAUAUUUAUUAUAACUUGUGAGUUGAGGUUUUGGCGUUGACUUGGUGGUGUUUUUUGUGAGAAGUCUUCCGCUAAGUUGUAUUC